RNAcentral lists this long non-coding RNA (341 nucleotides) under Elaeis guineensis (African oil palm). Its description in RNAcentral is "long non-coding RNA (EGUI_LNC016826)". The record is from RNAcentral. Lineage: Eukaryota; Viridiplantae; Streptophyta; Magnoliopsida; Arecales; Arecaceae.
CUCAAAGAUGUCUCUAUAAUAAGUUUCGGAUUUGAUCUAAUCAAAUCUGACUCUAUGAGUUUAUUAGAUUGUAUCGGUUCUUCUACCGAUUGAACUUCAUCAAGUUCAAUCUUAGAGGUAUUAGUUCUUUCCCUAAGGAACUCCUUUUUCAAAAAAGAUUGUCCUAUUGCUGAUGAACACUUUUUGUUCAUCAACAAAGUAGAAGUAAUAUCCUUAAUCUCUUUUGGAUACCCUAUAAAUAAACAAUUAUCAGACCUAGAUCCAAGCUUAUUAGUUUUCAAAUAUUUGAUAUAAGUCGGACACUCCCAAACCCUAAGGUGAGAGAGUACUAGCUUACGUUC